UACAGAGGGUGCGAGCGUUGUCCGGAAUCACUGGGCGUAAAGGGCGCGUAGGCGGCCUGGCAAGUGGAAGGUGAAAUCCCUCGGCUUAACCGAGGAACUGCCCUCCAAACUGCUUGGCUUGAGUCCGGGAGAGGUGAGUGGAAUUCCCAGUGUAGCGGUGAAAUGCGUAGAUAUUGGGAGGAACACCAGUGGCGAAGGCGGCUCACUGGACCGGAACUGACGCUGAGGCGCGAAAGCGUGGGGAGCAAACGGG
This 253-nucleotide ribosomal RNA is filed under the name uncultured bacterium. RNAcentral describes it as "partial 16S ribosomal RNA". It matches the Rfam family "Bacterial small subunit ribosomal RNA", at positions 524 to 776 of the family's 1533-position model. The record is from RNAcentral.